CGUGCCUAAUACAUGCAAGUCGAACGCAUUGUGGUUGAAAUGAUAUGAAGAACUUGUUCAGAUUUGAUUUUCAACAUUGCAAUGAGUGGCGAACGGGUGAGUAACACGUGGGAAACCUACCUCUUAGCAGGGGAUAACAUUUGGAAACAAAUGCUAAUACCGUAUAAUAAUUAAAACCGCAUGGUUUUAGUUUAAAAGAUGGUCUUGCUAUCACUAAGAGAUGGUCCCGCGGUGUAUUAGUUAGUUGGUGAGGUAAUGGCUCACCAAGACAAUGAUACAUAGCCGAGUUGAGAGACUGACCGGCCACAAUGGGACUGAGACACGGCCCAUACUCCUACGGGAGGCAGCAGUAGGGAAUCUUCCACAAUGGACGAAAGUCUGGUGGAGCAACGCCGCGUGUGUGAUGAAGGGUUUCGGCUCGUAAAACACUGUUGUAAGAGAAGAAUGACAUUGAGAGUAACUGUUCAAUGUGUGACGGUAUCUUACCAGAAAGGAACGGCUAAAUACGUG
This 510-nucleotide ribosomal RNA is filed under the name uncultured bacterium. RNAcentral describes it as "bacterial SSU rRNA". It matches the Rfam family "Bacterial small subunit ribosomal RNA", at positions 43 to 507 of the family's 1533-position model. The record is from RNAcentral.